AGAAUCAACGCUGGCGGCGUGCCUAACACAUGCAAGUCGCACGAGAAAGGGUAGCAAUACCUGAGUAAAGUGGCGCACGGGUGAGUAACACGUGAAUAAUCUACCUCCGAGUGGGGAAUAACUGAGAGAAAUCUUAGCUAAUACCGCAUAACACUUACGAGUCAAAGCAGCAAUGCGCUUGGAGAGGAGUUCGCGGCAGAUUAGCUAGGUUGGCGGGGUAAUGGCCCACCAAGGCGAUGAUCUGUAUCC
Molecule: ribosomal RNA, 249 nt
Filed under: uncultured bacterium
Lineage: Bacteria
Description: partial small subunit ribosomal RNA
Rfam family: Bacterial small subunit ribosomal RNA
Source: RNAcentral